GGAGAGAUGGCUCACUGGUUAAGAGCACUGACUGUUCUUCCAGAGGUCCUGAGUUCAAUUCCCAGCAACCACA
This 73-nucleotide transfer RNA is filed under the name Mus musculus (house mouse). Its description in RNAcentral is "tRNA-Asn". Lineage: Eukaryota; Metazoa; Chordata; Mammalia; Rodentia; Muridae. The record is from RNAcentral.